RNAcentral lists this small nucleolar RNA (72 nucleotides) under Castor canadensis (American beaver). Its description in RNAcentral is "Small nucleolar RNA SNORD50 (ENSCCNG00000001769.1)". It matches the Rfam family "Small nucleolar RNA SNORD50". Rfam says of the family: U50 belongs to the C/D class of snoRNA which contain the C (UGAUGA) and D (CUGA) box motifs. Most of the members of the box C/D family function in directing site-specific 2'-O-methylation of substrate RNAs. Lineage: Eukaryota; Metazoa; Chordata; Mammalia; Rodentia; Castoridae. The record is from Rfam by way of RNAcentral.
AAUCUAUGAUGAUCCUAUUGCAAACAUGAAUUUCUGUUGACAAAACUUAAUUAUAGAUCAGGCUUCUAAGAU